UGAUAAGUUGUUGAGACAUAGUCUUUUAGG
This 30-nucleotide non-coding RNA is filed under the name Mus musculus (house mouse). The record is from RNAcentral. Lineage: Eukaryota; Metazoa; Chordata; Mammalia; Rodentia; Muridae.